AGCAGCCGCGGUAAUUCCAGCUCCAAUAGCGUAUAUUAAAGUUGUUGCAGUUAAAAGCUCGUAGUUGAAUUUCGGGAUUGGCGCAUCGGUCGUGCCUCACGGGGUAUGAACUGGUGCAGUCAAUUUCUCACCUUCUGGAGAACCGCGAUGUCCUUAAUUGGAUGCCGUGGGGAACCAGGACCUUUACUUUGAAAAAAUUAGAGUGUUUAAAGCAGGCAUUUUUGCUUGAAUACAUUAGCAUGGAAUAAUAAAAUAGGACGGCAUGGUUCUAUUUUGUUGGUUUCUAGGACCACCGUAAUGAUUAAUAGGGAUAGUUGGGGGCAUUAGUAUUCAAUUGUCAGAGGUGAAAUUCUUGGAUUUAUUGAAGACUAACUACUGCGAAAGCAUUUGCCAAGGAUGUUUUCAUUAAUCAAGAACGAAAGUUAGGGGAUCGAAGACGAUCAGAUACCGUCGUAGUCUUAACCAUAAACUAUGCCGACUAGGGAUCGGAUGAUGUUAAUUUUUUCAAUGACUCAUUCGG
This 520-nucleotide ribosomal RNA is filed under the name uncultured Entrophospora. RNAcentral's name for it is "SSU rRNA". It matches the Rfam family "Eukaryotic small subunit ribosomal RNA", at positions 569 to 1083 of the family's 1831-position model. Lineage: Eukaryota; Fungi; Glomeromycota; Glomeromycetes; Entrophosporales; Entrophosporaceae. The record is from RNAcentral.